GGGUCUACCCAUUGGUCAGGCUUAAUUGUCUGUACUGGUGAGAUGGAUCUCUACCUUCUGAGGAACUUUCAUGCCAUUUAUUUGGUGUGGUUGGAAAUCAGGACUGUUACUUUGAAAAAAUUAGAGUGUUUAAAGCAGGCUUAUUGCUCGAAUACAUUAGCAUGGAAUAAUGAAAUAGGACGGCUUGAUUCUAUUUCGUUGGUUUCUAGGAUCACCGUA
RNAcentral lists this ribosomal RNA (219 nucleotides) under Campeiostachys nutans. RNAcentral's name for it is "Elymus nutans partial small subunit ribosomal RNA". The stretch from base 47 to 219 matches the Rfam family "Eukaryotic small subunit ribosomal RNA", at positions 692 to 864 of the family's 1831-position model. The record is from RNAcentral. Lineage: Eukaryota; Viridiplantae; Streptophyta; Magnoliopsida; Poales; Poaceae.